This is a non-coding RNA of Myotis lucifugus (little brown bat), 75 nucleotides long. The record is from Rfam. Lineage: Eukaryota; Metazoa; Chordata; Mammalia; Chiroptera; Vespertilionidae.
GGUGGUUCUCGGGUAAUGCACCCCAGAAUCAGGGUCCCUCCUCUCUGGUUCCGGGUGCGUCACCUGAGAACUGCA